UACGUAGGGUGCAAGCGUUGUCCGGAAUUAUUGGGCGUAAAGGGCUCGUAGGCGGUUUGUCGCGUCGGGAGUGAAAACCAUGGGCUUAACUCAUGGCUUGCUUCCGAUACGGGCAGACUAGAGGUAUGCAGGGGAGAACGGAAUUCCUGGUGUAGCGGUGAAAUGCGCAGAUAUCAGGAGGAACACCGGUGGCGAAGGCGG
This 201-nucleotide ribosomal RNA is filed under the name uncultured bacterium. Its description in RNAcentral is "partial 16S ribosomal RNA". It matches the Rfam family "Bacterial small subunit ribosomal RNA", at positions 524 to 724 of the family's 1533-position model. The record is from RNAcentral.